GGGUUGUGAGGUUAAGCGACUAAGCGUACACGGUGGAUGCCCUGGCAGUCAGAGGCGAUGAAGGACGUGCUAAUCUGCGAUAAGCGCCGGUAAGGUGAUAUGAACCGUUAUAACCGGCGAUUUCCGAAUGGGGAAACCCAGUGUGACUCGUCACACUAUCAUUAACUGAAUCCAUAGGUUAAUGAGGCGAACCGGGGGAACUGAAACAUCUAAGUACCCCGAGGAAAAGAAAUCAACCGAGAUUCCCCCAGUAGCGGCGAGCGAACGGGGAGGAGCCCAGAGCCUGAAUCAGCAUGUGUGUUAGUGGAAGCGUCUGGAAAGGCGCGCGAUACAGGGUGACAGCCCCGUACACAAAAGCGCAUGUGCUGUGAGCUCGAUGAGUAGGGCGGGACACGUGGUAUCCUGUCUGAAUAUGGGGGGACCAUCCUCCAAGGCUAAAUACUCCUGACUGACCGAUAGUGAACCAGUACCGUGAGGGAAAGGCGAAAAGAACCCCGGCGAGGGGAGUGAAAAAGAACCUGAAACCGUGUACGUACAAGCAGUGGGAGCACAGGUUUACCUGUGUGACUGCGUACCUUUUGUAUAAUGGGUCAGCGACUUAUAUUCUGUAGCAAGGUUAACCGAAUAGGGGAGCCGGAGGGAAACCGAGUCUUAAUUGGGCGUUAAGUUGCAGGGUAUAGACCCGAAACCCGGUGAUCUAGCCAUGGGCAGGUUGAAGGUUGGGUAACACUAACUGGAGGACCGAACCGACUAAUGUUGAAAAAUUAGCGGAUGACCUGUGGCUGGGGGUGAAAGGCCAAUCAAACCGGGAGAUAGCUGGUUCUCCCCGAAAGCUAUUUAGGUAGCGCCUCGUGAAUUCAUCUCCGGGGGUAGAGCACUGUUUCGGCUAGGGGGCCAUCCCGGCUUACCAACCCGAUGCAAACUGCGAAUACCGGAGAAUGUUAUCACGGGAGACACACGGCGGGUGCUAACGUCCGUCGUGAAGAGGGAAACAACCCAGACCGCCAGCUAAGGUCCCAAAGUCAUGGUUAAGUGGGAAACGAUGUGGGAAGGCCCAGACAGCCAGGAUGUUGGCUUAGAAGCAGCCAUCAUUUAAAGAAAGCGUAAUAGCUCACUGGUCGAGUCGGCCUGCGCGGAAGAUGUAACGGGGCUAAACCAUGCACCGAAGCUGCGGCAGCGAACGUAUCACCCAAGACAACUUUACGGAGUUGACGAUUGACGGAGCGAAGCGACGUCAAAGCGUUCAUUAAAGUCGAGUUGGCUUAGGGAUACGUUCGUUGGGUAGGGGAGCGUUCUGUAAGCCUGUGAAGGUGUGUCGUGAGGCAUGCUGGAGGUAUCAGAAGUGCGAAUGCUGACAUAAGUAACGAUAAAGCGGGUGAAAAGCCCGCUCGCCGGAAGACCAAGGGUUCCUGUCCAACGUUAAUCGGGGCAGGGUGAGUCGACCCCUAAGGCGAGGCCGAAAGGCGUAGUCGAUGGGAAACGGGUUAAUAUUCCCGUACUUGGUGUUACUGCGAAGGGGGGACGGAGAAGGCUAUGUUGGCCGGGCGACGGUUGUCCCGGUUUAAGCGUGUAGGUGUGUGUUCCAGGUAAA
This 1591-nucleotide ribosomal RNA is filed under the name Salmonella enterica subsp. enterica serovar Apapa. RNAcentral's name for it is "partial 23S ribosomal RNA". It matches the Rfam family "Bacterial large subunit ribosomal RNA", at positions 1 to 1540 of the family's 2925-position model. The record is from RNAcentral. Lineage: Bacteria; Pseudomonadati; Pseudomonadota; Gammaproteobacteria; Enterobacterales; Enterobacteriaceae.